This 73-nucleotide transfer RNA is filed under the name Ailuropoda melanoleuca (giant panda). It matches the Rfam family "tRNA". From Rfam's summary of the family: Transfer RNA (tRNA) molecules are approximately 80 nucleotides in length. Their secondary structure includes four short double-helical elements and three loops (D, anti-codon, and T loops). Further hydrogen bonds mediate the characteristic L-shaped molecular structure. tRNAs have two regions of fundamental functional importance: the anti-codon, which is responsible for specific mRNA codon recognition, and the 3' end, to which the tRNAs corresponding amino acid is attached (by aminoacyl-tRNA synthetases). tRNAs cope with the degeneracy of the genetic code in two manners: having more than one tRNA (with a specific anti-codon) for a particular amino acid; and 'wobble' base-pairing, i.e. permitting non-standard base-pairing at the 3rd anti-codon position. The record is from Rfam by way of RNAcentral. Lineage: Eukaryota; Metazoa; Chordata; Mammalia; Carnivora; Ursidae.
ACCUGACUGGCUUAGUCAGUAGAGCAUGAGACUCUUGAUCUCAGGGUCAUGAGUUCAAGCCCCAUGCUGGGCA